Chelmon rostratus (copperband butterflyfish) is the source of this 866-nucleotide long non-coding RNA. RefSeq lists it as uncharacterized. The record is from RefSeq and is a predicted model, not a curated record. The transcript is spliced from 3 exons. Lineage: Eukaryota; Metazoa; Chordata; Actinopteri; Chaetodontiformes; Chaetodontidae.
GCUUGUUAUUGAGGAAGAGAUCCGGUUGCAGAAGACGAACACAGACGUUUGAAAACAGCUUUGUAGCUGAUUGACCACUGAGGCAACACCUUUAAAUCCACAGACCUGAAAAAUGGUGUGACUGAUCAUCAACGCCUGCAGGUACGUGGUGCAGAAGAUCCAGGCUGCAGUGAGGGGGGAGCCGCAGCCAAGGAAAGCCAGCACCACAGCAUGUAGACAGGCAGAAGCACAAAGUGAAGGCAGGAUGAGCUCCGAGGAGCCCGCCUUCACUUCCCGGCCGACGGAGGAGGUGGCCGUCCUGCGGGAGAAGGAGUGUGGGUCCUGAAAGUAAAGCAGGAGCUGGAGGGCAGAGUGGAGGCUGCAUCAACACAAAUACACAAGCACACAAACUAACACACACCCUGGCUGUCGUCCUCUUCAGGUUUAUAAAACCACAGACUUGGUGAGCUGUGAGGCUUCAUCGAGAUUUCAGUGAUCCUCCUGCACUGACUCAGGACUGCAUGUGGUUCUCUUCAAACGUAAUGAAAACUACUUUCAUUCUACUUUUCUGAUUUGUUUUGCAAUUAUCAUCUUGAGCUUCAUCACUUCAUUCAUUGCAUUGAUUUCUUCCACAAUCCCACACACAACAGUCAGACAAAUGAAGCGUGUUGAACUCCCACCUGCUUCCAGCUCUCGGUCUUCUGUCCUACCCGGCCUUCAUCCAGCCCGAGCUGGCAGAGAUAAUGAAAGCCUGAUCACCAACUCCCCAGCAGAGGAGCUGAUCAGUCUGGAAAAACACGAAAGACUCUGCCAAAUCAGAUAUUCAUGUAUUCAUAGGCCUGUUCCUUUUCCCUGUGAUACUCAAUAAAAAGGAAAUAUUUCCUGUG